AGGAGUCCUCUACUACUGUGAGAGCGAAGAACGAGUCUCCACCAUAACCCCAGACGCCUCUCUCUCUCUCUCUCCACCCCCAUUUUCUCUCUCUACACCUCAAUUCCCUCUCUCUCUUCGCACCGCCGCAAUGUUCUCCGGCGGCUCCGCCUCCAGGUCCCACCAGAGAUCCUCAAUCUCGCCAUUCCGUUCCCGCAAGUCGCCGGCGCCGCCGUCCAAGCCUCCCGUCCGUCCCGCCACGCCUUCCUCUACAUCAUCUUCCUCCUCCCGACCGCCGUCCAAGCCCUCUGCCCCCUCGCCGGCCUCCGCCUCCAGCUUGACCCCGCCCGAUGUCUCCAAGGCUAAAGAGAAUGUCACCGUCACCGUUAGGUUUCGCCCCCUCAGUGCUCGUGAGAUUAACAAAGGAGAUGAGAUUGCUUGGUAUGCUGAUGGUGACUGUACAGUGAGGAAUGAGUUCAACGCUGACAUUGCUUAUGGAUUUGAUAAGGUUUUUGGUCCAGCAACCACGACGCGCCAUGUAUACGAUAUCGCGGCGCAGCAUGUUAUCAGUGGUGUUAUGCAAGGGAUUAAUGGUACUGUAUUUGCAUAUGGUGUUACUAGUAGUGGGAAGACUCAUACAAUGCAUGGGGAGCAGAAGUCACCUGGUAUUAUUCCUCUGGCAGUGAAGGAUGUGUUUGGAAUUAUACAAGAGACACCUGGGCGAGAGUUUCUUCUCCGUGUUUCAUAUCUUGAAAUUUACAAUGAGGUCAUAAACGAUUUACUUGAUUCAACAGGACAGAACCUACGAAUAAGAGAGGAUGCUCAGGGAACUUAUGUUGAAGGAAUCAAAGAGGAAGUUGUUUUGUCUCCUGCUCAUGCUCUUUCCUUAAUAGCAACUGGAGAAGAGCAUAGACACGUUGGUUCUAACAAUUUUAAUCUACUAAGCAGUCGCAGCCAUACUAUCUUCACAUUGACUAUAGAAAGCAGUCCGCGAGGUGAAAAUGGAGAAGAAGAUGUCACCUUGUCCCAGUUGCACUUAAUUGAUCUUGCAGGAUCUGAAAGUUCUAAAACUGAAACGACUGGAUUGAGGAGAAAGGAGGGCUCAUACAUCAAUAAAAGCUUGCUCACGCUAGGCACUGUGAUAUCCAAACUCACAGAUGGGAAGGCAACUCAUAUUCCUUAUCGAGAUUCAAAACUCACCCGUUUGUUGCAGUCCUCCCUCAGCGGUCAUGGUCGUAUAUCUCUCAUUUGCACUCUGACCCCUGCUUCUAGCAAUACUGAGGAGACGCACAACACACUGAAGUUUGCACAUCGGAGCAAGUAUGUGGAAGUAAAAGCUGCCCAAAAUAAGAUUAUCGAUGAAAAGUCUCUUAUCAAAAAGUAUCAAAGGGAAAUUACCAGUUUAAAGGAAGAGCUUCAGCUGUUAAAACGUGGCAUGAUGGAAACACCAAAUGUACCUGCAUCUACACAGGAAGACCUGGUUAAUUUGAAGCUUCAGCUGGAAGCUGGACAGGUGAGAUUGCGGUCAAGAUUGGAAGAGGAGGAAGAAGCCAAGGCAGCUUUAAUGGGAAGAAUACAACGAUUGACUAAACUAAUCUUAGUCUCCACAAAAAAUAACAUACCACAUAGCAUAUCUGAAAGGCCUAGCAAUAGACGGAGGCAUUCAUUUGGGGAAGAUGAGCUAGCAUAUCUGCCUGAUAAAAAAAGGGAAUAUGUGAUUGAUGAUGAUGCUCUAAGUUAUGCUUCCGAGAUUUCAGUCGAAGGAAGAGAUGAGGUCACUAAUCUUGACGAGUUGGUCAAGGAUUACAAACGAAACAGAAGACGUGGAAUGCUUGGAUGGUUUAAACUGAAAAAACCUGAGCUUCUCAUGGGAUUGUCACCAAGUGCUGAUAGUGAGAGCUCUUCUACUAGUGGUUCACCAGCACCUUGUUCAAAGUCUUCUCAAAAUAAAGUCAACUCCAUUGAUUUGAAGGAUGGACGAAGAAAGUCUGUCAGCAGAAGGGGAGAUGAUCAUACCAUCAUUGACUCAUUUCCAGAAAGAACCCAAGCUGGUGAUUUGUUUGGUGCUGCAGUUGGUGGUCGGCAUUUGCCUCCAACUGGAUUCACAAUAACCGAUCAAAUGGAUCUCCUUCGUGAGCAAGUUAAAAUGUUAGCUGGGGAGGUAGCAUUGUGUACAAGUUCUCUGAAAAGAUUGUCCGAGCAAACAGCUACCAACCCAGAAGAUUCAAAACUUAGGGAACAAAUGCAAAAGUUGAAGGAUGAAAUCAGUGAAAAGAAGUUUCAGAUACGUGUUCUUGAGCAACGCAUGAUUGGAUCACUUGAGAUGACUGCGCAUAGGUCUAACAAUAGUGAAAUGUCUCAGGCUUUGUCCAAGCUCACUACUCAGUUAAAUGAGAAAACUUUUGAACUCGAGAUCAAGACAGCAGACAAUAGGAUACUUCAGGAGCAACUACAGAUGAAGAGUUCAGAGAACGCAGAAAUGCAAGAGACAAUUCUGCUGCUAAGGCAACAACUUAGUUCUAAAGAAAAGAACAAUGAUGAAAGAGAUAGGAUCGCUCCAUUUGAAGAAACCUGUGCUGAUGAAAAUACACCGACCAGUGUGAUGAGCUUAAACAGAAUCCUAUCCCUGGAGGACUCCAAACAGUGUAACAAAGAUGCAUACUUUAAAUCACAAAUCCAUGCACAGGCUUCUAAAAUAGAAGAUAUGAAGCAAGAGAGGGUGAUACUGUCUGAAGAACAGGAGGGGCUCGAAGUUCAGAAUCUGAAACUUUCGGAAGAAGCUUCGUAUGCCAAAGAGUUGGCUUCAGCUGCAGCGGUGGAGCUUAGAAACUUGGCUGAAGAAGUAACAAAGCUUUCUUAUGAAAACGCCAAGCUGACUGGUGAUCUUGCUGCCGCAAAAGAGCUUCAGUGCCGAUCAAACUGUUGCCAAAGGUCUACUUCAUAUGAUAUGAAGAAAAAUAGCAGAAAUGGGGCCCGAGCUAAUGGAUUCCAUAAAAAGUCGGAGGAUGUAGUUCUGGUUGAGGAGCUGCAGAAAGAACUUAGUGCAAGAUGUCUAAGAGAAGCUGCUCUAGAGAAAGAACUAUAUGAAAGAGAUCAGUUAGAACAUGAUCUACGGAUUACACUAGAGAAUGUGAAACAACGUGAAGUUGAUUUGGAAAAUGAGCUGGAAAAUAUGCGGAUGGGGGUUGCGAAAUUGAGGAAGUCUGGUAAUAUUGCUGAUGAUGUGUCAAUUCAAGGGGUUCUUGAGUCUGAAAGUUCACAUACGAGACUUAGAGAUGGGAAUGUGCCAUCUAUUGAUCAUUCAUACGCUAUGUUCAAGGACAAUGAAAGCAGUGAAAACUUGAAUGAGAUGGGUACAUUUGAAGAUUUAAGAGCCAGCUAUAUGGAAGAAAAGAGAAGACGCAAAGAGCUGGAGUCCUAUAUUUCCAGGUUCAAGGGUGAAGAUGUUGCUGGUCUUGAUGUCACCACUCUUGAACAGUUGCAGAACCUUCAUGUUGAGGCUAUAACAAAGAUUUGCCAUGCAAAGUGCGCAAAUCGUGUCUUGUAGCAAGCUGAGAGCACUUAUUUAGCGAAAUCCCAGAUUGACGUAGUUAGGUAUUCAGGUAGUCAGCAGAUGUUUAAUGUGCUUUGUACAGUUUGGUAACAGUAACCAGAUCAACUGACUUCCUUCUACUCGAGGAAGCAAUAUUGUAGGUGAUGCAGUUGUCCAGUAACUUAAAAGUUAAAUGGUUACUGAAGAAUAUUAUAUACUAUAUGUUAAUACAUGCAUUCAUCUAUUGGGAUAUAUACCCACUUGCAUUUCCCAGCCUGUAACUUCUAUUACAGGCAACAUACCACGGAUGAGUGGUGCUUCUGCUUAAAAUAGACAAAGCUUCUUUAACACCAAAAAGUUGUAACCAGUAUCUGCUACAUAUAAAUCCAAUAGAUUUCUGCA
Molecule: RNA transcript, 3913 nt
Organism: Argentina anserina (silverweed cinquefoil)
Lineage: Eukaryota; Viridiplantae; Streptophyta; Magnoliopsida; Rosales; Rosaceae
Gene name: kinesin-like protein KIN-7C, mitochondrial
Exons: 26
Source: RefSeq, a predicted model, not a curated record